GACGAACGCUGGCGGCGUGCCUAAUACAUGCAAGUCGAACGGUUUAGUUCCAAGAGGCUUGCCUUUUGGAACUAGACAGUGGCGGACGGGUGAGUAACACGUAGGCAACCUACUUGUCAAACCGGGAUAACCUCGGGAAACCGAAGCUAAACCCGGAUCAGCUCCUUUUUCGCAUGAAGGGGGAGUGAAAAGGUGCGACCUGAUGACAGAUGGGCCUGCGGCGCAUUAGCUAGUAGGUAGGGUAACGGCCUACCUAGGCGAUGAUGCGUAGCCGACCUGAGAGGGCGUACGGUCACACUGGGACUGAGAUACGGCCCAGACUCCUACGGGAGGCAGCAGUAGGGAAUCUUCGGCAAUGGGCGAAAGCCUGACCGAGCGACGCCGCGUGAGUGAGGAAGGCCUUCGGGUUGUAAAACUCUGUUGUUUGGGAAGAAGGGAAAGGGUAGGACCCUUUGGUGACGGUACCAAACGAGAAAGCCCCGGCUAACUACGUG
RNAcentral lists this ribosomal RNA (494 nucleotides) under uncultured bacterium. RNAcentral describes it as "partial 16S ribosomal RNA". It matches the Rfam family "Bacterial small subunit ribosomal RNA", at positions 28 to 507 of the family's 1533-position model. The record is from RNAcentral.